GAUGAACGCUGGCGGCGUGCUUAACACAUGCAAGUCGAACGAUGAAGCUCAGCUUGCUGGGUGGAUUAGUGGCGAACGGGUGAGUAACACGUGAGUAACCUGCCCUUAACUCUGGGAUAAGCCUGGGAAACUAGGUCUAAUACCGGAUAGGAGCGCCUACCGCAUGGUGGGUGUUGGAAAGAUUUAUCGGUUUUGGAUGGACUCGCGGCCUAUCAGCUUGUUGGUGGGGUAAUGGCUCACCAAGGCGACGACGGGUAGCCGGCCUGAGAGGGUGACCGGCCACACUGGGACUGAGACACGGCCCAGACUCCUACGGGAGGCAGCAGUGGGGAAUAUUGCACAAUGGGCGAAAGCCUGAUGCAGCGACGCCGCGUGAGGGAUGACGGCCUUCGGGUUGUAAACCUCUUUCAGUAGGGAAGAAGCGAAAGUGACGGUACCUGCAGGAGAAGCACCGGCUAACUACGUG
RNAcentral lists this ribosomal RNA (466 nucleotides) under uncultured bacterium. RNAcentral's name for it is "partial 16S ribosomal RNA". It matches the Rfam family "Bacterial small subunit ribosomal RNA", at positions 28 to 507 of the family's 1533-position model. The record is from RNAcentral.